Molecule: ribosomal RNA, 1253 nt
Filed under: Halomicrobium zhouii
Lineage: Archaea; Methanobacteriati; Methanobacteriota; Halobacteria; Halobacteriales; Haloarculaceae
Description: bacterial LSU rRNA
Rfam family: Archaeal large subunit ribosomal RNA
Source: RNAcentral
GCUACUACGCCACUCGGUGAAUGGCUCGGCUCGAGUGCCGACGAAGGACGUGCCAAGCUGCGAUAAGCCCGAGGGAGCUGCAUGGAAGCGAAGAACUCGGGAUGUCCGAAUAGGAAUCCUCUCCGCAAUUGCCUUGCGCAAUGGGGAACGCCGGGAAUUGAAACAUCUCAGUACCGGCAGGAAGAGAAAGCAACUGCGACGUCGUUAGUAACCGCGAGUGAACGCGACACAGCCCAAACUGAAGCCCUCACGGGCGAUGUGGUGUUCGGGCUGACUCUCAUCACGCGACAGCCGUCGAGAACUCUCCUGGAAGGGAGGACGAUACAGGGUGACAGUCCCGUAUCGACGACCGGUAACGUGUGCGUCAGUCCCAGAGUAUCGGGGGUUGGAAUUCCCUCGUGAAUACGGCAGGCAUCAACCUGCUAAGGCUAAGUACAACUCGAGACCGAUAGCGAACAGUAGUGCGAACGAACGCUGAAAAGUAUCCUCAGAAGGGAGGUGAAACAGUGCCUGAAAUCGAGUGGGUAUAGAACGACGGGGCAUACAAGGUCCUGUACAAAACGACCCAGAUGCGAGUCUGCAGUAGGACGUACAGGAAGCCGAUGUCGUGUCGUGCGUUUUGAAAAACGAGCCAGGGAGUGUGUUUGCGAGGCGAGUCUAACCCGAUUAUCGGGGAAGGCACAGGGAAACCAACAUGGCCGCAGCGCUUUGCGCCAGGGCCGCCGUCUUCAAGGGCGGGGAGUCCCGCUGACACGACCCGAAACCGGACGAUCUACACGUGGGCAAGGUGAAGCGUGCCGAAAGGCACGUGGAAGCCUGUUAGGGCUGGUGUCUUACAAUACCCUCCCGUGACCUUCGUGUAGGGGUGAAAGGCCCAUCGAGUCCGGCAACAGCUGGUUCCAACCGAAACAUGUCGAAGCAUGACGUCCGCCGAGGUAGUUCGUGAGGUAGAGCGACCGAUUGGGAUGCUUCACUCCGAGAGGAGUGAACUUCCCUGUCGAACUCCGAACUUACGAACGCUGUCGACGCGGGCAGUCCGGUGCGCGGGGUAAGCCUGUGUACCGUAAGGGAGACAACCCAGAGCUAGGUUAAGGUCCCCAAGUGUGGACUAAGUGUGAUCGAAGGUGGUCUCGAGCCCUAGACAGCCGGGAGGUGAGCUUAGAAGCAGCUACCCUCUAAGAAAAGCGUAACAGCUUACCGGCCGAGGUUCGAGGCGCCGAAAAUGAUCGGGACUCAAGUCCACCACCGAGACC